CGUAUGUACAUAGAAAACGAUUGGCGAUAUACCCCAAAAUAUUUAAAGUAGUUAACAGUGUUAACUUAAAACUAAUUGUUACGGCACCGCUCGUGCAGCUAACAUAUCUUGUGGACUUAUCCAGAUCCUUACCAGAUUCAUACAUAUAAUAAAACCUGAAACGCCGCGUCGCCGUCGCCGCCGUCGCAUGACGUGACGCGCGCCAUCUAUGGGAAGUUCAUAAUCGAAGACUGGCACAAUUUUGGGUACGACUACGGACUAACGGCCGCCGCCUGGUAUGACGAAUUCCUCAAGUUCUGGCCCAAGGUGGAGAAAAAAUUUGGGAUCGAGUUCUUCAAAAAUUGGACGAUUUUAAUGAAAGCCGGAGAAGCCGGGUAUUGCACCAGGACGGUUUAACUGUGGCAAAUUGUCUGGUCCAAAGAGAGGAAAAGUCUGGUUGAUCGACGGGGUUAUUGAACUCCGCAAAAUAACCGCCAUGGAAGACCCCGUGGUCAAACUCUUUAAAUGUGGCGGGUGCGGGAAAACUUUUUUCAAAAGGGAAAAAGCCAUGAGACAUAUUCUCGAAACGAGGCAUGGUGCUGACCAAUAAGUUGGAAAACGAAUAUUUGCAAUUUUUCUUUUUCAUCAUAAUUAAUCUCGUGCUCAUACAUCCAAAUAAAAACAAGUUACGAAUAAUAA
Long non-coding RNA from Folsomia candida, 678 nucleotides. RefSeq lists it as uncharacterized. The record is from RefSeq and is a predicted model, not a curated record. The transcript has 3 exons. NCBI's taxonomy places the organism in Eukaryota, Metazoa, Arthropoda, Collembola, Entomobryomorpha, Isotomidae.